GGACGGUCAUAGCAGCGUGGUUACACCUGUUCCCAUUUCGAACACAGAAGUUAAGCAUGCUCACGUUCCGGGGUGUACUGCACUUUGUGUGGGAAACCCGGAAAGCUGUCCUCU
This is a non-coding RNA of Euryarchaeota archaeon SM23-78, 114 nucleotides long. The record is from Rfam. NCBI's taxonomy places the organism in Archaea, Methanobacteriati, Methanobacteriota.